This 335-nucleotide ribosomal RNA is filed under the name uncultured Planctomycetales bacterium. RNAcentral describes it as "bacterial SSU rRNA". It matches the Rfam family "Bacterial small subunit ribosomal RNA", at positions 473 to 806 of the family's 1533-position model. The record is from RNAcentral. Lineage: Bacteria; Pseudomonadati; Planctomycetota; Planctomycetia; Planctomycetales.
CGGUACCUGCAGAGGAAGCCACGGCUAACUCCGUGCCAGCAGCCGCGGUAAUACGGGGGUGGCAAGCGUUGUUCGGAUUUACUGGGUGUAAAGGUCAUGUAGGCUUUUUAUUAAGUCGGAUGUGAAAUCCCUUGGCUCAACCAAGGAACUGCAUUCGAUACUGGUAAGAUUGAGUACGAGAGAGGUAAGCGGAAUUCCGGGAGUAAGGGUGAAAUCUGUAGAUAUCCGGAAGAACACCAUUAGCGAAGGCGGCUUACUGGCUCGAUACUGACGCUGAAUAUGAGAAAGCUAGGGGAGCAAACAGGAUUAGAUACCCUGGUAGUCCUAGCUGUAAA